AUGGAUCCAAUUGUGCGACAACAGGUCGAAAUAAUGUCAUCCGUGUCUGAAGUGUGGACCGCCUUGGAGAACCAAUUCGCUGGGAAAUCAAACAAAAUGCAGGCAACCCGCAUUAUGGAGGAAUUAACUCAUCUAAAUCAGGGCACAAAGUCUGUACCAGAGUAUGCUGGUGAAUUGAAACGGUUGUACAGGGACCUGCACUACUAUCAUCCUUUUCAAGCAGUUGACAAGAGAGAUCUAGCCAUUCAUCACAAAUGGUUUGAGACGAUUGUGGCCAAGCUAUUUCUAGAUGGACUAAACCAGGAGCUUAACCUUCGGCGACAACUUAUAUUCUCUCAACCAGAAUGGCCAAGUCUCGAUGAUAUUAUUUCCAGUGUGCUUGAGGAAGAAACUCGGUUGGCUCAACCUAAGGAGGAUGAUCUAAAAUGUGCAGAUGACCAUGCGGCUUUAUCUAUGCAAUACCGCCGUACUCCCAGGCCCUUUGGCAAGAUACACAAAAACAAGUUGCUUUGUGAUCAUUGUAAAAGAAAAGGACACACAAAGGAUGGAUGUUUUGAGCUGCAUGGAUAUCCAUCUUGGUGGGAAAAAGGAAAACCUCGGACAGGGGGAGUUCAAUGUGUGAAUAGAAGGCAAGCUAACCACACCACGUCUCUACGGGGGCCACCAGUGGUAGAUGUACGAGCUCUUGAGGAGUUCAACUCCAAGCUUAAACUCUCAGAAAGCUCAUCUUCCUCGCAAGGCACCUCUAAGGUUGAUUCCAAUCUAAUUGCCACUUCUCACCAAGGAGCUAGGGACUGGGAGACAAUUGGGGACUGGGACCGAGCAUGA
RNAcentral lists this ribosomal RNA (828 nucleotides) under Triticum aestivum (bread wheat). RNAcentral describes it as "partial small subunit ribosomal RNA". The record is from RNAcentral. Lineage: Eukaryota; Viridiplantae; Streptophyta; Magnoliopsida; Poales; Poaceae.